AUUCAUUUACAGUAUAAAUUACUUCGUUAAAAUAUGUACACAAUUAAGUUAACACAAAAUUAAAACAAGUACAGUAUUUCAUACACGCAGUUAUAACUCACACACACAUACUAUUACAAGCACAUUAAUAGGUGCGUUGAAUCAUACCUCAAGCCCACCACAUAUGCAUGAUCAAUUCUGAAAUUCAUAUCAAAAUAAUCUAACAGUUCUUAAUGAUAUCAUAAAAAACCAAAACAGGUCUAAUAAUGUGUUAUCACACAUAUCACCUAUGGUUGUUUUUGGCAAUAUUUAUCAAAUACAUCUGGAUUUGUUCAGGCUUUGUUUAUAUUAACAGUCCAAAGCUUAUAAAACCAACCAACUAAAAAUUAGUUGAAUGUAUUUUGCUUUUUAGAUAAUGAAAUAUAUUGACGUUAAGGUUCAUUAGUUCAUUUCAGGUAACUAAAUUCCCUAGUGAUAUAAUUAGUUCAACUACAUUGAUAAAUUUU
Molecule: long non-coding RNA, 485 nt
Filed under: Mytilus galloprovincialis (Mediterranean mussel)
Lineage: Eukaryota; Metazoa; Mollusca; Bivalvia; Mytilida; Mytilidae
Source: RNAcentral